This 6730-nucleotide long non-coding RNA is filed under the name Lathyrus oleraceus (garden pea). RNAcentral describes it as "Pisum sativum (pea) long non-coding RNA (PSAT_LNC019168)". Lineage: Eukaryota; Viridiplantae; Streptophyta; Magnoliopsida; Fabales; Fabaceae. The record is from RNAcentral.
CACAGGUAGAAGCUUCCCAUGACGUUUCUUGAAAUCCAAUGGAUCUAAUACAAAGGAUGACAACUUCCUUAGCUCUUUCAAAUCAGGACAUCUGAAAUUGUACUUCUUAGUGUUCCUUCGUCCACAGUCCAUGGUCUAAAAAUAUUUGCAAAUAAGACCUUGGUUCCUUGAAGUUAUUUUUUUGUGUGUGAUGAAUGUCAUGAUGUGCAUGAAUGCAUGAAUGUAACAAUCAAAAACAACGGAUCACACACAAGGCAAACACAAACAAAGGUCAAGGGAUGAAUCAAGUCAUUGUCAAGAUUAAUCAUCCAUUUUGGUGGAUUAUAGUUUUCACCUUAUCAACACCCAAGUUCCAUUGAUAUUAACAAGACUUAAUUGGAUCAACCAAGAAUCAAAGGGUUUGUUGUGAGUCACUAGCAUGGAGUCAGGUUAAGAACCACCCCAAAGUAGUGUACUAAGGAUAAAAACCUGUAGAUCAUGUUCUAAAAAGUUCCCAGAGUCUUAAUUCCAUCUAUCAGAUAUUAUAGGUUAGGGUGACUGACUCAUCAACCCAUAAUAUUUUCAAGAGAAACUCGUCUGAGUGUAGUAUCGCGUAACAACUGCUAUAAAGACUACACCUAAAUAGUCUUUGCAAUACGUCCUAAAUAGGACAAAUUGGGUUAAAUGUUCUACGGUCCUCAGCUUCUCGGACCCCAAAUUAGAGAAAGUAAUGUCUAACCACAAAUAACUUGUGUGACAUUAGUAACUCCAAAAGGGUCUCCACUGAGUAGAUGGAUUUCAAGCCAAUUUGUUAAGGACUAAUCCACACAAGUAGAACAUGACUAUACCAUCUUCCUAUCUUAAUUGCACUCAAGUUCGGGAUAGAACUUAUCUCACCACUCAGAGAUCAUCGGGCAUAACAAGCAGAUUAUAUCACACAAAGAAGUAUAUAAACAUCAAAUAUACAAAUAUAUACACAUAAAAAAGUAGGCUAAACCCACUGAGGACUACUCCCCAGCAAAGUCGCCACUUAAUUUCUGUAGCGGUAAAUUCAUGACCAUCAAACUAUGGAUAAGCUUAACAUCAACAAAACAAGAGUCGUCGUCGCGCUUUUACUGUUUCCAAAGGAAAAGGAAAAAGUACGAACAAACCCCAAAGAGAAUAAGUUUUCAAAUCAAAACUAAUAAAAUGCCAGAGAUUACAGGUAAUGGGGUUGGUUACACAGAGGGAAGGUGUUAGCAUCCACAUUGUCCUAUGUACUCCUAGGGAGCCCUUUUUUAUGUGUGUAUGUGUUUUUGGUAUAAAAGAUGUUUGAAACAAAUAGAGUGUGUAGAUGAGAAGAAGAAUUCAUUAAUUAUACUUUUGUGUUUGACAAGACCUUCGGACUUGUGCCUACGUAUCAACAUAAAAUGAGGGAUCAAAACCUCGUAGUUCAUGGUAUCAAUGUCAAAAUGAGUGAGUUGCUUUUAAUCAAAAUUAUAAUUUAAAAGAGGCACAAAGGGCCCAAAAGUUUGCAUGAGUGUUAGUUCUUUUUGUCUUUUGAAAUUUUAAGUCAAUAUGGUUAAGUUCAUUUACAAGUUUGAUUAAGAAAAGAGUUUUAAAAUCUAAUGGCAUAAGGCCAAAGUUUCUAAUUUGCAAUAAAGUCUAAGUUUGAAAUCACAAGAAAAGAAAGUUUUUGAAAAGGGGGAGAGAUUUUGAAAUUUAAGAAUUGGGAGAAGAUGAAGAGACUAAUCCUAAGCAUAAAAUUAAAAGUUAAGAGUUGAAAGAUCUGACAAAUGGGAUGCAAUCCAACAAACAAGAAUGUCAUAUAGAAAACCCACUUUCUCUUUGGACUUUGAAUCAAACAAUAGUCAGUAAGCAAUUAGCAAUAUGAAGAGCAAGGCAUCAAAUAAAGAUGGUCACAUCCAAGCAAGCAAGUCCAUAGCUAACCGUCUUCUUUGUCUUCUCAUGAAUCAGAUGAAAUACUCCUUGAGUUUUUACUCAGAAUAAGGUAUUAGGCAUGAGAUCAAAAUAACAGUUGCAUCAAGACCAUGGAGCAGAUGAACUCAAGUGGAUCCAAAUACUUGCAUCAGAUGAAAACCCAAAUCACAAUAACUUGGUCUCAGAAAUGUUGGCAUUGGCCAAAUCCUUUUGCAUAUGGAAUGUUUCCUAAUUCUAAGUCCAAAAGUUCAUAUCAGACCCAACAGUCCACACAAACAUUUUUCAGGGUUUUUUGCUGUUUAUUAAGUAUUUUAAGGUCCUAAGACCAAAACACAAACAAAAUACACAAACAAAUAUAUACAAUCACAAUAUAUGGCUCAAAUGAGCAAAAUGAAAAUGACAUAAACAUAAACAAGUUAAAUGAUAUGUAAAUGGAAAUGAAUGGUAAAUGACUUGAAAUUAAAUUGCAUAAAGUAAAUGACUUGAAAGAAAAGCAAAUUUAAUAAUAGUUAGUGUUAGUCAUAGCUAAGUAGAUGUUAGCGGAGUUUUUCUUUUUAAUUGAUUAAGUCAUUCUUUGGGGAACACUCAACCAUCUAUUCACAAGCAUGGAUCCUUGAACCAAGACAUCUUCCAAAGGAAAGAAAAAAGGCCAAGUUUCCACACAAUACCAUGAAAGAUGGGAGACUUACAAUCUCACUUACUAGAAUGUUAUGCCUUUAGGGUCAAAUUUAGCUCUAUGUUAAGCAAUCGUAAUUGGACUUAUGUAGAAUUCACAACUAUCUGAGGUCGGGAAAUAAAAAUUUGGAUACUAAUGCAUGUUAGAGAUUUGGUAUAAUGAACCAAACUUCUAAAAUAUACCACACACUAAAAGAAAAAGAUCAAAGGUUGGACCUAUCUCAUCCAUACUUGUAUUGGUUCAUCUAACAUAAGGCUAUUGAUGAACCAAUUAGCCUUAGGAUUUGGAGAUUUCAUUGGUCAAUGAAAGGGAUGGGAAUUAAUGGGAUUGAAGAUGAAGAGGGAAGGGAGAUGAGAGAAACACAAAUUGGCCAUGGGAGGAAUUUUAUCAAAUUAAAAUCAUUCAUUCAUUUUGGGAGAUGGAUUGUACAUUUCAUCAAUCCCCUAAAUCCAAUUAUUUUAACUCAACAAAAGUCAAAUCAACCUUGACCAAGGCCCAAACACAUAGUCAAACAUCACAAGUCAAUGAAAAUGGCUCAACAAAACUUUUACACAAUUAAUCAAUUAAAAAUAUAUUUAAAUUCAAUUUAAUUUGGUCAAAACCUAAAAUCUCUUCAAAACACCAAAUAAAUGGCCAAGAGAUUUAUCCUAGGUCAAACAAGGUCAAAGGACCUUAGACAAGAAAUUUCAUGAUUUUUUAAAAGUCAGAAGUAUUUUUAAAUAAUAAAAAAUAUGCACAAAAACAAUUAAUUCAUAAAAAAUAUCAAAAUUAAUCCAAAAAAUAAUUUUAAUUCAGAAAAUGAAAGAGGAAAAUAUUUAAAGAUUUUUGGUGAAAGUCUCAUAUUUUUUGAAUUAAAAAUGAAAUUAAUAUGAAUUAAACAAAAUAAAGGGAUUAAAUGAAAAAAAUCAGAAAAAAAAUAAAAUAGAAUUAAAAAAAACAAGGCCCAUCAGAUCUUCCUCAUUAAUUGAGGUGGCAGAUGUGAGGGUCACACGCGCGCGUUCCACCAUGCACUCAAGUCAUAUUAAUGUACGCAUGGUAAUGCAAAAUAAAGGUCCAGAUUAUAACAUCCAAACAUGAUCAGAUGGCCAUGAGGUGUGUCAACACACCACCGGAGCUAGGGCUCCGGUCAUCUUCUCCGGUGACCUCCACCAGACUGGUCCAACUUUAUUUUAAUGGAAAAUGACAAACAAGGACGUUAUUUCAACGAGAAAAUGCUCAGGAUCACGAAUCUGACCUCACUUUUCUCCAAUUCCAAGUUAAUAAAGAGAUACAUGGAUUUGAAUUUUGAGGAUCAUGAACUGAGUUGCUUAGAUUUGACCUCAAAACAACUUAAUCUUCUUGCCUAUAUUGGUAGGACUUCAGCCAACCAAAAAUCAUAAAGAAUGGUGAAGAACUGAGGGAGAAUUGAAGAGAUGGAAAUUCUGAAAAAUUACCUUCGGGGGAGCUUCAACAUUGCUUGAUCUUGAUUCUAAUUGUCAUUGACUUUGUUUGAGAAGCUUGUAGGAAGUGAUUAAGAUCAGAAAAUGGCCUGGACUCUUGGAGUUUCAAUCUCAAAACAAAAUGAGAUUUGAAGCUCGACUUUCAAAUGAAAACCUUUAAGAUUAUCCUUUAGUGGUGAGGGUUUGGAAUACAUGUUCAAAGCCUGGGCAUGAGAGGUUGUAUUUAUAGGCCAUGAGAUUCAUUUCCACACACUUCCAAAUUUUGCCUAUUUUAGCAAUUCACCUUGCAUGCUUGCAUGGGCGUGUGAUAGGCCCAUCAAGUGAUGUAUUCAGGUCCAAAAUUGCUUGAGAAUCAUGGGAAGGAGCGUGUUGUCUAUAUUGUCAACGACUUAAUGACUUAUGGAUCUCUUCUUGAUUCAAAAUCGACAGUUUUAUGCAAAGCCGCCUCUUGAACAAUGUUAUUCUUCGGAUUAAAAUUAUGUAAUAUUUCUUCAAUUUGAAUCAAUCUCUCUGUUAUGGUAUGUGAGUGCUACUACUGCACCAUAUGGUAGAUGCUGCUCAGCAGGUCCUUGCCUCCCUACAAACCUUGAUUAGCCUACAAGAGUUUAAAUUCGGGAAUCAUUUAUUAUACAUGCAUCAUUGUAGGGAGCAUUGGAGGCUUGAACGAAGGUCCGCCUUGCUGAAACUGUUGUGUAGAUAUAAGGAAUGAAGGAGGUUGAAACACUUUAUGAUAUGUCAUAGGUUGGACAUGAUCUUGAGGUAAGGGAAUAAGUGGAGUAGUACUUGAUUGCUUGUCCCUUAAGGGGGUGAAUGAUUCAUGGCUACCUUAGCGGCAACAAUAACUUGUCGUUGGACGACGAAGCGAGUAGCUUUGGAAGCCGCCAUUAUUGCAGAUACAAUGGAUGAUUUGAAGGAGGAGAUUUUGAAUAUAACAUAAGUGAUUAGGAAAUGGAGAUCCAAGCUUCGAUUGAAAGAGAUGUGGUUUUCUAAUAGGAGAAGGCUCGAUUAAAUCGAGAGAAGUUUAAUCGUGAAAAAUCGUAGAAAUUAAAAGUUGAUUCCAUAGAUGGCGCCAAUGUUUUGUGUUGGAUCUAGAAUUGAUUGGAGUGUAUGAACCUGAAGUUGAUUGUGGUGGUUUGGGGCUUCUGAUGAAUUGGAGAAGGAGCCAACCUACAAUGUUAGCACAUCAAUGAUCAAAUCAGUAAGAGACUAAAAAUAAAGUUUGAAUGAAAAAUUAUUUGAAUACAUAUGAAGUGGUACAUUUUUAUCUAAAAUAAAAGAAAUGAUUGAUAACUGCAUGCGUGAGAUGCAUUUGAUGAUCAGAUUUACCUAGCCGCUCGCAUUAAAGUUGACCUACUUCUAAAAAAAAAAAAAAAUACAAUUAUUAUAUCGAAUGAUGCCUUAAUCUUUAUUGAGCUUAUGUUUCUUUAGACCUUCUGGACAAUCCAUCACAACUUAUUAAGAAAAGUUAAAUUCAAAAAAGAUGAUCUAUUAGAGUGUUUCGUGUCAAAUAACAAGAAGGGAAUUUGGUGAGUGGAUUCCCCCGGAAAAAGGAUUAAGAAUAGUGCCAAAAGCAGCAAGCCCGUCCAAUGUACCAUAAUAAUUAUUUAUAACGUAACGGGCGCCGAGUGAUUGGCCACAAUGUCAAAAAGCAUUGGCGAAAUAUCACGAUAACGUGUAUCCAAUGUCCCUAACUUCAAAUAUUUUCAUCCACCAUUUAAAAAAGUCUAACUCAUUUCCACUACUUUGCAUUUAAUUAUUAUAAAAAAAAGUCGAUAAUUUUUAACAAUAUUCCCCUCCGACAUUCAAAGUAAACAGACGCCUUCUUUCUUUGUCUUCGCAUGUUUUAUGUCUUGUGGAUAAGCUUCAAUCUUCAUGUGCCGCUCCACCAUUCCUCUCCCUUUCCCACUAUUUCAUUCAACAUUAUUUUAUCUAUUAUCAUGUUUUGCUGUCAUUAAUUAAUGAGCAUGCCUUCAUAACAAAAUCAAAUAAAAAAAAUAUUUUCAUUACUUUAAUUUUAAUUUUCUCCCACGCAAAUUUUAAAAUAAUUCUUCAAACCACCGCGACUUUCAAAUUCCUCGUUCUUCAUGCACCCUAGCACAAUACAAUCCUUGCAGUCCACACGUCUUUUUUCUCCUUUCCCAGCUGUUUCAAAUUUCACAAUCCACAUCUUCUUUCUCUUCUCAUAUAAAUACCCUUCUCUCUUCCCUUAUCCAUUUCAACUCCACAACACAAACACAAAACACAACAAUUACUCUAUUCUCAUUCUUAUCAUUGAAAAAGAAAACACUACAACUACUACUAACAAUUUUACUUAUAUUCAAACAUGGUUGAUUUACACUGGAAAUUAAACAUGCCAAAUUCCGACAUGCCUUCCAAAUCUCCAAAACUUUCUAUCUCCGACAAGUCCUCACCACGCAACAACUCCCUACCGUUGUUGCAACCACCUUCAAUCACAAAUGAUAUCUCCGCGGCGGCACCUCCUCUUUGCGCGGCGUAUGACUACUACCUCCGCCUCCCGGAGGUCCGCAAGCUUUGGGAAUCAAGAGAAUUCCCAAACUGGAGCAAUGAACCAAUCCUAAAACCAGCUUUGCAAGCUCUCGAAAUCACCUUCCGUUUCAUCUCUACGGUUCUCUCCGACCCCAGACCCUAUACGAACCGAACAGAAUGGAACCGUAGACUCGAAUCCAUUGCCACGCAGCAGAUUGAGAUUAUCGCC